This 254-nucleotide ribosomal RNA is filed under the name uncultured bacterium. RNAcentral's name for it is "partial 16S ribosomal RNA". It matches the Rfam family "Bacterial small subunit ribosomal RNA", at positions 524 to 776 of the family's 1533-position model. The record is from RNAcentral.
UACGGAGGGUGCAAGCAUUAAUCGGAUUUAUUGGGCGUAAAGGGCGCGUAGGCGGACUUGCAAGUCAGAUGUGAAAUCCCGGGGCUCAACCCCGGAACAGCAUUUGAAACUACAGGUCUUGAGGGUAGGCGGAGAAAACGGAAUUCCACAAGUAGCGGUGAAAUGCGUAGAUAUGUGGAAGAACAUCGGUGGCGAAGGCGGUUUUCUAGCUUACUUCCUGACGCUGAGGCGCGAAAGCAAGGGGAUCAAACAGG